CCUACGGGUAGCAGCAGUGAGGAAUAUUGGUCAAUGGGCGCGAGCCUGAACCAGCCAAGUCGCGUGAGGGAGGACGGCACUACGGGUUGUAAACCUCUUUUGCCGGGGAGCAACGGGCGCCACGUGUGGCGUCACUGAGAGUACCCGGAGAAAAAGCAUCGGCUAACUACGUGCCAGCAGCCGCGGUCAUACGGUGGAUGCGAGCGUUAUCCGGAUUUAUUGGGUUUAAAGGGUGCUUUGGCCGAUCGUUAAGUCAGUGGUCAAAUUGAGGGGCUCAACCCCUUCCCGCCAUUGAAACUGGCGUUCUUGAGUGGAAGAGAAGUAUGCGGAAUGCGUGGUGUAGCGGUGAAAUGCAUAGAUAUCACGCAGAACCCCGAUUGCGAAGGCAGCAUGCCGGCUUCCGACUGACGCUGAAGCACGAAAGCGUGGGGAUCGAACAGGAUUAGAUACCCCAGUAGUC
This 460-nucleotide ribosomal RNA is filed under the name uncultured bacterium. RNAcentral describes it as "partial 16S ribosomal RNA". It matches the Rfam family "Bacterial small subunit ribosomal RNA", at positions 338 to 795 of the family's 1533-position model. The record is from RNAcentral.